RNAcentral lists this ribosomal RNA (510 nucleotides) under uncultured bacterium. Its description in RNAcentral is "partial 16S ribosomal RNA". It matches the Rfam family "Bacterial small subunit ribosomal RNA", at positions 34 to 540 of the family's 1533-position model. The record is from RNAcentral.
GACGAACGCUGGCGGCGUGCUUAACACAUGCAAGUCGAACGGAAAGGCCCUGCUUUUGUGGGGUGCUCGAGUGGCGAACGGGUGAGUAACACGUGAGUAACCUGCCCUUGACUUUGGGAUAACUUCAGGAAACUGGGGCUAAUACCGGAUAGGAGCUCCUGCUGCAUGGUGGGGGUUGGAAAGUUUCGGCGGUUGGGGAUGGACUCGCGGCUUAUCAGCUUGUUGGUGGGGUAGUGGCUUACCAAGGCUUUGACGGGUAGCCGGCCUGAGAGGGUGACCGGGCGUAUGGGGAGUGAGAGCAGUCCGAGAAGCGAGGGGGAGGCAGACAGAGGUAUUGGUAAACAAGGGGUGGAAGCAUGCGGCAGCAAGGGCGCGUGGUGGACGACGGCCGUCGGGUGGUAAUGAGCUUCCGCCGGGGACGGAGAGUGUGGGAGGGGAUGGGGAAAAGAAGUACCCGGUAACCAGGCGGAAGCAGCGGGGGGGGGAGAUCGGACAGGAACACGUCAUUAC